AUUGUCUAUGUCAAAACUGAAGAAGAAAAGAAGCAUAUAAUUCCACGAUGGAUUAGUGAUAUUGAGUUUUUGAAAAAGAAAAGAAAACAUAACACUGAAAUAGGUUAAACUGGUUUUUAUGCACAUAAAUUUGAGCAAGAACACUACAAUCAGACAUUGAGACAUGUGACGACCAUGCAUAUCUAGUGAUAGUAUAAGAAGCAUAAUGAAAUUGCAACUUGCCUUAAUAUGUAGUGACUAAUGUUAAAAUUUAAUAGUGUGAAAUUAAUAGUAUGGUUGUAUUGCAUUAUAAGUCUAUGCUCUGUAACAAUUUACCUACUUGAUAAGAAAAAUAAAUGCAUGAUGGAAGUAAAACAACAAAUGGCCUCCCAGUGGAAAUACAAAAAACAGUGAGUGAAGCAGAAUUUGUACAAAUAGAGAUAUGAAUAGUGAAGCAAACACAGGUCAGGUCUAUCAAGUAUCAAAUUGAUAUAUGUAUGCGCAGUUGCUAAUUUUCAAAAGAGUAUAGGGAAGCAAUACGAAAAAGGUAAAACCCACACAAAUACAUACCUUGGUGAAAAUGAAAAAAACAAUGGUAUGUUUUAGGAACUGAACAUACCAUCACUGAUUGUGUCAUAAAGUACAAUUGUAGUAAAACUUAGCAAAUUGCA
This 650-nucleotide long non-coding RNA is filed under the name Trifolium pratense (red clover). RNAcentral describes it as "long non-coding RNA (TPRA_LNC007699)". Lineage: Eukaryota; Viridiplantae; Streptophyta; Magnoliopsida; Fabales; Fabaceae. The record is from RNAcentral.